Molecule: long non-coding RNA, 499 nt
Organism: Polypterus senegalus (gray bichir)
Lineage: Eukaryota; Metazoa; Chordata; Cladistia; Polypteriformes; Polypteridae
Exons: 3
Source: RefSeq, a predicted model, not a curated record
GGCAAGCACAGUUCUCACUGUGUUUCAGAAUUUGUCAGUGACUAAUCAGUUUUUAAAAUAUUACUUGAAAUUUUUUGACAGUUAAUUCAUUCCUUUCGAAAGCUAUAUGAGAGCUGCAAUAGUUUUUUAUGCGCUUACCUGAUUUCACUGCAACAAAAUAAGUUCCUGAGUUAAAACUUGGUCUUUUAUUUCUUGUUAUACUUAAUUAGACUAUCUUUCAGUAUAUCUUGGCAGUCAUUCUCAAACAGUCUGAAUUUAUUUGUUGCAUGUCAUUACACAUUUUUCUGGAUCAUAGUCAAAUACUCACAGGCGCUAACUUUUAAUGUUCUCACGGUGGGCAUCAAAGAUUCAUCACUCAAUUGAGAAACGCACUGUUUGUGAAGACUGUGGCCAAAAGAUGAGGAUCCAGAAACAGAUAAACAUAAAAUGUAAAAGAAUUACUUAAUUGGCUUUGUAAAACUGUCAGCCAUGUCUGACCUUACGUAACAGCAUUUGAACA